This 498-nucleotide ribosomal RNA is filed under the name uncultured bacterium. Its description in RNAcentral is "partial 16S ribosomal RNA". It matches the Rfam family "Bacterial small subunit ribosomal RNA", at positions 28 to 523 of the family's 1533-position model. The record is from RNAcentral.
GAUGAACGCUAGCGGCAGGCCUAAUACAUGCAAGUCGAACGAUAGAAAAGAGCUUGCUCUCUUUGAAAGUGGCGCACGGGUGCGUAACGCGUAUGCAACCUACCUUAAUCAGAGGGAUAGCCCGAAGAAAUUCGGAUUAACACCGCAUAAAAUCACAGUACAGCAUUGUACAAUGAUCAAAUAUUUAUAGGAUUAAGAUGGGCAUGCGUGACAUUAGCUAGUUGGCGGGGUAACGGCCCACCAAGGCGACGAUGUCUAGGGGAUCUGAGAGGAUGACCCCCCACACUGGUACUGAGACACGGACCAGACUCCUACGGGAGGCAGCAGUAAGGAAUAUUGGUCAAUGGAGGGAACUCUGAACCAGCCAUGCCGCGUGCAGGAAGACAGCCCUCUGGGUCGUAAACUGCUUUUAUUCGGGAAUAAACCUACUUACGUGUAAGUAGCUGAAUGUACCGAAGGAAUAAGGAUCGGCUAACUCCGUGCCAGCCGCCGCAGUAA